CUACAGAGGCUGCAGGUCCUGGAGGAUUGUCUCUGGUGAAACAAGAGAGGAAUGAAGGAGAGGACCCACGACACAGCAGAAGCAUCCCUACUGGUUGCGGAGGACCUAUCCACCAACGCUGCGACCCAGACCAGGACCCGAUGCAGCAUUACGGAGUCAGUAGACAUGGAGGAUGGGAAACCUGAUCUGCUGCUAGUCAAAGAGGUGACAAUAGAAGAUGGACCAGAGAGCAUUGAUCUGCUGAGUGGACUAAAGAUGGGGGAGCAAGGUGGUUGGCUGGAGGCAAACAGAAGAGACUGGGCAGCCAUCUUUGAUUCUUAGACCCAGACCAAUGCAGCCAAGUGCCCAGGGGACAACAUCACAGAGCAGGCCAGGAUCAGA
Molecule: long non-coding RNA, 381 nt
Organism: Salmo salar (Atlantic salmon)
Lineage: Eukaryota; Metazoa; Chordata; Actinopteri; Salmoniformes; Salmonidae
Source: RefSeq, a predicted model, not a curated record